GAUGGUUUACUUACAAAUCGAUAAGUCGUCUAUUUUGUUUCUCAAAUAGUCUAUUGCAAAGCGAAGGGAAAUGGACACUGUAGGCCAGCGGAGCAAGGAGUACCACUUCCUCCCGAUUCAGCACAUACCUGCCGCCAACUCGGGACCUCUGCCUUGCUAGCACACGUGACUGCCCUCCUGAAGAGGCGCCACGCUAAAAGCUAGCUAUUCGCUGGUGAAAGUGGAGACACUUGGCUGAGGACUCUCCCUUUUCUUGGAUUGAGCCUGUUCAGGUCGUAAAAGGGGCCCAGAAAGAGGAGGACGUCGAACCCAGACACCAAGACGGACCCCUGGCCUCCCCCUCAACCGGCUAGACUCCAGACUGCAGACACCCCUGCAUGGACCAGCACAAACCAGACACAGACAAUACCAGAGCAGCUCACUUUCACAGCUUUGAUUUACAGAGUUAUAUAGAGGCCAGAGUUCACCUUCAUAUAAGACUGCCCAUUCUCAUAACCUCACUGCCUAACACUUUAACCAUGUAAAAAUGUCAAUGUAAUGUAAUGCAACCCCAGUCACUCGCUCAAAGCAGUCCACUCUAUGGGGAACAAAACAUAUAUCUUUAUAGAGUGAGUCGUGUCCCACUCAGUCCUUCAGAGAAUCUUGGUUAUCCUUUGGUUUACCAUGAUUCUACCCUACCCUCAUAAGAACGAUGAACUCUUACUGACCAUAGAGAUAUACACUGAGUAUACCAAACAUUAGGAAUACCUUCCUAGUAUUCUAGGGUAGUGUAAUAGUUGUGUUACAGUGUGUAAAGCCAAUUUAAGUAAGUUGUGGGCCAUUCUGGAUCAGAUCAAGCUUACUUUACUGUUAAGACAAAGUAAGGUUUGUUUGAAGCCUGUUGUGGGAUAAAAGGGAGGUAUGUAGUAAACUGUGGAUUAGGGUCGUUUUGUAGAGGGAUAUAACCCCCAGAAUGAGAUUGGAUUUUGGUUUUGGAAUUUGGUUUUGGACAGGCAUACCUGCACAUGCUAAUAUGUCUGCAUACCAAAUGAGCACCCUAUAUUCACUACAUAAUGCACUACUUUGACAUAAUACAGGUAAAACCCUGUCGGUGAUUCUCCAUCCCUCUCUCCCUACAUCCCUCUUUCCUUCUUACGCACAUUCCUCUUGCUAACUCCCCUUCUCUCUCUCUCCAUCACUAUCUAUUCUGUCUGUCUCUGGGUGCCUCAGCUGAGUAGCUCAGUUGCUGCAAUGAUACAUGAUCUGGUUUUCAAUGCUUGAGCAGUGCUGCUAGUUAGAGGGGGAAGGAAGAAACACUGUGCUAUGGUAUGGGAACUCAUACCAUAGCACAGACAGACAGUUAUCUACAAGCCCAGGAUCCACCAUAGAGAGAGAGUACAUUUUCUUCCUUAUAAUGUAUACCCUCCCCCCAAGUAGACUUUCUUCAACACACCACCAUCUCCCUCCUCCAACUCAUCCUUGAUCUUCUCCCCAUUUCUGGGCCCCAGAGCCACCCUGUAACCCUGCACCCCCUUUCCCAUCCCGCCCUCUGCAUCCCAUAGCCCCCCUGUAUCCUUCCCCUCUCCUCAUUCUACAACCCAAAGCCAUGCUGUACCCCCUUUCCUUCCACCCCCUUCUGCACCCCAAAUUCACCCUGCACUCCCAUCCCAUCCCCCUCUUCUGCACCCCUUUGCCCCCUCCUCCUCAGUGCCAUGUUCUCUCCGUUCAUCUGCCAGUGUCCUCCUGUCUGUGGGGCCAAUGAGGUCAGCAGUUUGAUAAACACAUAAAUCAGCCAUGCUACACCAUGAAGGCCCCCGAUGGCCCCUGGUGGCCCAUGACACUAGUUCCCACAGCCGGCCUGUCUGUCACUCCAACUGACUGACAACAGUCACCCUCUUCACACCCCUCCCACCCCUUCAUCCCCAUCCCUGCCCCCCACCCUGGACAGUUGACAAUCCGUUAGAGAAGGGAUGGGCGUCUCUUUCUCUCCCUCUCUAACUCACUCUCGAUCUUCUCCCCCUUUCUGGCCUCCAGAGCCACCCUGAAGAGCCUAAAAGAAAUCAGAUAAUUCUGGAUCCUAUUUCAUCAAUCAUCAAAAUAUCAAUCAUGCAUUUCCUGGAUAUGUUAGAUGAAAUAGCUUACUUUGUGAAUCAUAGGCUCCCAUCUCAGUUGUCCUACUUGGUACUGGAAUUUAAAAAAUGUAAAGUAGGCCUAACUGUCCAUACAAAAUGUAUAUAUUGUUGUACUUGAUGUUGUUGAGCAAAGUAGUUACAUUUAUCACAAUAUCACUUUUUCUCCACAACGCCCAGCUCUAACACCUCCCCCAAAAAUGACUUAUGGUAAUUGUUUCGGUGAUUUAUCAUUGUCACAAAAAAUGGGUAGAUUUAUUACGAUAUGUUUUUUUUGUCCAUAUCACCCAUCUCUACCCUGAUGCCACCCUUCCCCUUGCAAAAUGACACAGAUGCUCCUGUGAAGCCAGUGCCCUAUACUACCAAUCAGGUUUGAGGAGUUAGCGAAGUAACUUUGGUCAACUCUGAAUUCAACUCGGGAUAACAGGUACCACAAAAGUGGUUCAAACUUUAGCCAGGUACGUUUCUAUGGCAACCAAUCAUUCAGAACUAAUCUGCUCCAGGACAGGCUAACUCAGGGCUAACUCCAUUUAUCCUGAAGGAAGUGUCUGAGCUGCGAGUUGAGGACCAAUUAAAUCAGAUUCAAGUCAAAUGUUUUAUUUGUCACAUGCGCCGAAUACAAGCCCUUAACCAACAAUGCAGCUUUAAGAAAAUAAAGUUAAGAAAAUAUUUACUAUGUAAAUAGUCCGGG
Oncorhynchus gorbuscha (pink salmon) is the source of this 2799-nucleotide long non-coding RNA. RefSeq lists it as uncharacterized. The transcript has 3 exons. NCBI's taxonomy places the organism in Eukaryota, Metazoa, Chordata, Actinopteri, Salmoniformes, Salmonidae. The record is from RefSeq and is a predicted model, not a curated record.